Molecule: long non-coding RNA, 253 nt
Filed under: Gossypium barbadense (sea-island cotton)
Lineage: Eukaryota; Viridiplantae; Streptophyta; Magnoliopsida; Malvales; Malvaceae
Description: long non-coding RNA (GBAR_LNC009472)
Source: RNAcentral
UUAUGUUGAAAUCAAAUCAGGUGCGUAAUAAGAAACCCAAAAAUCAGCGAACUACGAAAGCCGAAAAACAAAAAUGUCAAUGCCACAUGGUUGUAUGCUAGGCUGUGUGUGACACACGGCUAUGUGCUGGACCAUAUGUGACACACGGUCUGGGUUAUUUUGGGUCGUGUGGGCAUAAAAUUUUAGAAUUUUCCCUAGGGUCGUACAUGAACUCUCGAUCAACCGGAGGCCUUCCAUAAGGGCGGUAUGUGAG